CGUGUAGGCGGUCAGGUAAGUGGAAUGUAAAAUGCCCCGGCUCACCCGGGGACCGGCAUCCCAAACUGCCUGGCUUGAGUAUGGGAGAGGAUGGAGGAAUUCCUGGUGUAGCGGUGAAAUGCGUAGAUAUCAGGAGGAACACCGGUGGCGAAGGCGUCCAUCUGGCCCAAUACUGACGCUGAGGCGCGAAAGCUAGGGGAGCAAACGG
RNAcentral lists this ribosomal RNA (208 nucleotides) under uncultured Latescibacterota bacterium. RNAcentral's name for it is "uncultured Latescibacteria bacterium partial 16S ribosomal RNA". It matches the Rfam family "Bacterial small subunit ribosomal RNA", at positions 568 to 775 of the family's 1533-position model. The record is from RNAcentral. Lineage: Bacteria; Pseudomonadati; Candidatus Latescibacterota.